This 342-nucleotide RNase P RNA is filed under the name marine eukaryotic metagenome. RNAcentral's name for it is "Bacterial RNase P class A". It matches the Rfam family "Bacterial RNase P class A". From Rfam's summary of the family: Ribonuclease P (RNase P) is a ubiquitous endoribonuclease, found in archaea, bacteria and eukarya as well as chloroplasts and mitochondria. Its best characterised activity is the generation of mature 5'-ends of tRNAs by cleaving the 5'-leader elements of precursor-tRNAs. The record is from RNAcentral.
GAGUCGGCCAGGCAACCGCGCCCGCGCAAGCGGGGGAGGAAAGUCCGGGCUCCACAGGGCAGGGUGCCAGGUAACGCCUGGGGGGCGCGAGCCUACGGAAAGUGCAACAGAAAGGAUACCGCCCGGCGCCUCGGUGCCAGGUAAGGGUGAAAUGGUGCGGUAAGAGCGCACCGCGCAGGUGGCAACACGCUGCGGCAAGGUAAACCCCACCCGGAGCAAGACCAAAUAGGAAGGCAAUGCCGCGGCCCGCGGUGCCUUCGGGUAGGUCGCUUCAGGCUGCCGGUGACGGCGGUCGCAGAUGAAUGGUUGCCCACGACAGAACCCGGCUUAUCGGCCGACUCC